GGAAGGAUCAUUAACACCGUAUCCACGUUAUCAACCAAUUGUGAACUUGUUUUCAAUCUCCCUGCACGUCAUAUCAUGAGUUGGAGUUUCUUAGGAUGGAUGAAAUGGGAAUCGUAUGAUGACGAAUGUUGGUUUACUCCUUCCUAAAUCGUCGUAUGAUUCGCUCCUGAGAAAUCACUUGUUCGGUCGUUCGACUGAACAGACAACUGUAGUAGAUCGUGUGGGUUCAAUUUCUAUUAGCCCAAACUUCUCCUUUCAUGAAGUUACUAGUAGGAAGCUAUAAGCCCAUUUCACCAUAAUUUUUGCUAGUUGACUUUUAUCUGUUACUCUUCUCGUGCGUACUUUAUUGAACGUCCGAAGGAUGACACGUUUAUUAUUUGAACGUUAAAAUUACAACUCUUAGCAAUGGAUAUCUUGGUUCUCGCAACGAUGAAGAACGCAGCGAAAUGCGAUACGUAAUGCGAAUUGCAGAAUUCAGUGAAUCAUCAAAUCUUUGAACGCAAAUUGCGCUCUUGGGUCAGUCCUAGGAGCACGCCUCUCUCAGUAUCGGUUCAACCACUGAUCAGCAGCGUAUGCAAAUACGUGUUGGCUGGAAAAUGAGAGUCUGAAUAUUCACCUAUUUAGUCUCUUUAAAUACAUUGAGUGAGCAUCAUAUUCGUACAUCUUUCGACUUCGGUUGAAAAGCUGGUCUCUGACUGGUUGUAUGAUAGUGACGUGAAUACUGACCUUCAUGGUCUCUCAUUUACGUGUAACUUUCGUCAACUAAUGAAAAGUCUAGGAUAGCUCGUGUGUGCAAAUUCGUGAUGUCUCAUGUAACGCGGCCUCGGCUGCAAUCGGCUUUCAUUCGUGAGAGUCUGAAUUUUGAUCUGAGAUGAAGCGAGACAACCCCCUGAAUUUAAGCAUAUUAAUAAGGGGAGGAAAAGAAACUAACAAGGAUUCCCCCAGUAACGGCGAGUGAAGCGGGAAGAGCUCAAUUUGAAAAUCGACUACCUAAGCGGGUCGUCGAGUUGUAGCCUAGAGACGUACUAUCAGCUGAAACCUGGGUAUAAGUUCUUUGGAAUGAGGCAUCAUAGAGGGUGAGAAUCCCGUAUAUGACCCAAAGCUUUCAGCGUACGAUGUAUGUUCAUCGAGUCGAGUUGUUUGGGAUUGCAGCUCUAAAUGGGUGGUAAGUUUCAUCUAAAGCUAAAUAAUGGCGAGAGACCGAUAGCGAACAAGUACCGUGAGGGAAAGAUGAAAAGAACUUUGAAAAGAGAGUUAAAAGUACUUGAAAUUGCUAAGAGGGAAGCGCUGACAACCAGUGCUUCACGUUGUUCAUCGUCGUCAGCCCCACUGGAAUUCGUGUGUCGUUGGAAACUCGACAUGCGAACUCGAAAGGGAGGUUGGCGGUUUAGGACAGCGGGUUAGUCAAGAUCCAUUCGAACUGUGGGAGAAGGUAGUGAGAAAGGUAGGAUACUCCGGUAUCUGUUAUAGUCUUAUUACUCUACCACGGCUUGGAUGGAGGAAGGAAUAGUGCGCUGCUUGCGGCUUAGUCCUUAGAUCCCUGCGAUUCCAGCUGCUCCUAUAGCAAUGCUAUAUCUGUGGUGAAAGGUCGUACUGGGUUUAGGUGACUCUAUGUGCUAUCACGAUCUUGUACGAAAUGGUUGUCAUCGACCCGUCUUGAAACACGGACCAAGGAGUCUAACAUCUAUGCGAGUAUUUGAGUGAAAAACUCUGAUGCGCAAUGAAAGUAAAGGCAGCUUCGGCUGUUGAGGUAGGAAUCCGGUCAAACGGAGGCACUAUCGACCGAUCAUCACUUGUGAAAGAUUUGAGUAAGAGCAUAUCUGUUGGGACCCGAAAGAUGGUGAUCUAUGCCUGAACAGGGUGAAGCCAGGAGAAAUUCUGGUGGAGGCUCGUAGCGAUACUGACGUGCAAAUCGUUCGUCUGAUUUGGGUAUAGGGGCGAAAGACUAAUCGAACCAUCUAGUAGCUGGUUCCCUC
This 1976-nucleotide unclassified non-coding RNA is filed under the name uncultured fungus. RNAcentral describes it as "sequence contains 18S rRNA gene, ITS1, 5.8S rRNA gene, ITS2, 28S rRNA gene". The stretch from base 863 to 1976 matches the Rfam family "Eukaryotic large subunit ribosomal RNA", at positions 1 to 961 of the family's 3401-position model. Lineage: Eukaryota; Fungi. The record is from RNAcentral.